GACGAACGCUGGCGGCGUGCUUAACACAUGCAAGUCGAACGGGCUCUGUCUGGCUGUGUGCUGGGUGGGGUUAGUGGCGAACGGGUGAGUAAUACGUGAGUAACCUGCCCUCUUCUUUGGGAUAAGCCUUGGAAACGGGGUCUAAUACUGGAUAUUCCUGUCUGGUCGCAUGGCUGGGUGGGGAAAGUUUUUUUCGGUGGGGGAUGGGCUCGCGGCCUAUCAGCGUGUUGGUGGGGUGAUGGCCUACCAAGGCGUCGACGGGUAGCCGGCCUGAGAGGGUGACCGGCCGCACUGGGACUGAGAUACGGCCCAGACGCCUGCGGGAGGCAGCAGUGGGGGGUGAUGCGCAAGGGGCGCAAGCCUGAUGCAGCGACGCCGCGUGGGGGAUGACGGCUUUCGGGUUGUAAACCUCUUGCGACGGGGGACAAGGCUCUGCUUGGUGGUGGGGUUGAGGGUACCCGGUGAAGAAGCGCCGGCUAACUACGUG
RNAcentral lists this ribosomal RNA (487 nucleotides) under uncultured bacterium. RNAcentral describes it as "partial 16S ribosomal RNA". It matches the Rfam family "Bacterial small subunit ribosomal RNA", at positions 28 to 507 of the family's 1533-position model. The record is from RNAcentral.